Molecule: ribosomal RNA, 460 nt
Filed under: uncultured bacterium
Lineage: Bacteria
Description: partial 16S ribosomal RNA
Rfam family: Bacterial small subunit ribosomal RNA
Source: RNAcentral
CCUACGGGUGGCAGCAGUGAGGAAUAUUGGUCAAUGGGCGCUAGCCUGAACCAGCCAAGUAGCGUGAAGGAUGACUGCCCUAUGGGUUGUAAACGUCUUUUAUAUGGGAAUAAAGUGCAGUAUGUAUACUGCUGUGCAUGUACCUUAUGAAUAAGGAUCGGCUAACUCCGUGCCAGCAGCCGCGGUAAUACGGAGGAUCCGAGCGUUGUCCGGAUUUUUUGGGUUGAAAGGGUGCCUAGGGGGUUUGAUAAGUUAGGGGUGAAAUGUCGGGGCGCAACCCCGCAACUGCCUGUAAUACUGGUAGACUAGAGUAUAGUUGAGGUAGGCGGAAUGUAUGGUGUAGCGGUGAAAUGCUUAGAGAUAAGACAGAACACCGAUUGCGAAGGCAGCUUACCAGAUUAAAACUGACGUUGAGGGACGAAAGCGUGGGUAGCAAACAGGAUUAGAUACCCUUGUAGUC